This is a long non-coding RNA of Alosa sapidissima (American shad), 551 nucleotides long. RefSeq lists it as uncharacterized. Lineage: Eukaryota; Metazoa; Chordata; Actinopteri; Clupeiformes; Clupeidae. The record is from RefSeq and is a predicted model, not a curated record. The transcript is spliced from 2 exons.
AAACAAACUGCAACCCAGAUAGCAAGGUGACAUUGAUAUGAUGUUGAUUUUCCAUCCAAAUCAUCAUUUUGGUUGAGAUUGAAAUCUCAAUGGUAAAUAGACAUUGAAUCAGCAUUACAAUCCUGACAAAAACCCGACAGUGCGUGAAUAUCGAUAAGAGAGAUAUCGAAACAACAUUGGUUUAUAGUUUAUGUUGCCAUAAUCGAUAGAGCAUUGAUACAUAGUUCACUAAAAGAUAUUGAAAAGUCAUGGAUUUGUGGUUGACUGGGAAAUCUAUUGAAAAGUAGUGGAUUUAUAGUUGACCGCGCGACGACGUUUGAACUGUCCAGCAGGAGAUCAUUUUCAGCAACAGUUCAGUCAGACCAACCGGGUGUUCAGCUCUCUGUCAAGUUCACUCCUCCUUAAUGGUGCCACUUCACUCUGCUACUGGAUGGUGGAGGGCUGACUGCAAACGGGUGGUCUAUGAAUGCUAUACUGAAUGGAUAGCAGGGAAGCACACAUGAAUUUCUAAAUGAAGAAGAGUUAAUAAAUGCACUUGAUUUUCAAACUGA